Molecule: unclassified non-coding RNA, 292 nt
Filed under: plant metagenome
Description: partial contains small subunit ribosomal RNA, internal transcribed spacer 1, and 5.8S ribosomal RNA
Source: RNAcentral
UUUUCGUAGGUGAACCUGCGGAAGGAUCAUUAUUGAAUAAACCUGAUGUGGUUGUAGCUGGCCCUUUCGGGAGCAUGUGCACACCCGUCGUCUUUAUCUUUCCACCUGUGCACCUUUUGUAGACCUGGAUGUAACACUUUCCGAGGCAACUCGGUCGGGAGGAAUGCUGUCAGCUUUCCUUGAAUGUCCAGGCCUAUGUUUUCAUAUACCCCAAAGAAUGUAACAGAAUGUAUUAUUGGGCCUUGUGCCUAUAAACUAUAUACAACUUUCAGCAACGGAUCUCUUGGCUCUC